RNAcentral lists this ribosomal RNA (447 nucleotides) under uncultured bacterium. RNAcentral's name for it is "bacterial SSU rRNA". It matches the Rfam family "Bacterial small subunit ribosomal RNA", at positions 355 to 825 of the family's 1533-position model. The record is from RNAcentral.
UGGGGAAUAUUGGACAAUGGGCGAAAGCCUGAUCCAGCCAUGCCGCGUGAGUGACGAAGGCCUUAGGGUUGUAAAACUCUUUCGUCGGGGACGAUAAUGACGGUACCCGAAGAAUAAGCUCCGGCUAACUUCGUGCCAGCAGCCGCGGUAAUACGAAGGGAGCUAGCGUUGUUCGGAAUCACUGGGCGUAAAGCGCACGUAGGUGGGCAGUUAAGUCAGGGGUGAAAGCCCGAGGCUCAACCUCGGAAUUGCCUCUGAUACUGGCUGUCUAGAGUUCGAGAGAGGUGAGUGGAAUUCCUAGUGUAGAGGUGAAAUUCGUAGAUAUUAGGAAGAACACCGGUGGCGAAGGCGGCUCACUGGCUCGAUACUGACACUGAGGUGCGAAAGCGUGGGGAGCAAACAGGAUUAGAUACCCCGGUAGUCCCUGAGCGGGCUGGCAAGGCGCAU